Molecule: ribosomal RNA, 253 nt
Filed under: uncultured bacterium
Lineage: Bacteria
Description: partial 16S ribosomal RNA
Rfam family: Bacterial small subunit ribosomal RNA
Source: RNAcentral
UACAGAGGGUGCGAGCGUUGUUCGGAAUUAUUGGGCGUAAAGCGCUUGUAGGCGGCACGUCAAGUCGCGUGUGAAAUCCCCAGGCUUAACCUGGGAAGUGCGCGCGAAACUGACGAGCUUGAGUGCCGGAGAUGGUCGCGGAAUUCCCGGUGUAGAGGUGAAAUUCGUAGAUAUCGGGAGGAACACCAGUGGCGAAGGCGGCGACCUGGACGGACACUGACGCUGAGACGCGAAAGCGUGGGGAGCAAACAGG